This is a ribosomal RNA of Oreochromis aureus, 119 nucleotides long. NCBI's taxonomy places the organism in Eukaryota, Metazoa, Chordata, Actinopteri, Cichliformes, Cichlidae. The record is from Ensembl.
GCUUACGACCAUACCACCAUGAGCACGCCCGAUCUCGUCUGAUCUCGCAAGCUAAGCAGAGUUAGGCUUGGUUAGUACUUGGAUGGGAGACCGCCUGGGAAUACCAGGUGUUGUAAGCC